Molecule: ribosomal RNA, 373 nt
Filed under: uncultured eukaryote
Lineage: Eukaryota
Description: partial 18S ribosomal RNA
Rfam family: Eukaryotic small subunit ribosomal RNA
Source: RNAcentral
CAGUAGCGUAUAUUAAUGUUGUUGCAGUUAAAAAGCUCGUAGUUGGAUUUCUAGUCGACUUGCGUGGUCCGCCCCUUAGGGGGUGAGUACCGCUGCGUGUCGCCUAUCCUAUCUGUUUGUCUGGCUUCGUGCUGGGCUGACAGGUUCUUUUACUUUGAAAAAAUUAGAGUGUUUAAAGCAGGCUUGCGCAAUGAAUACAUUAGCAUGGAAUAAUAACAUAGGACUUCGGUCUCUAUUUUGUUGGUUUCUAGAACUGAAGUAAUGAUUGAUAGGGAUAGUUGGGGGUGCUAGUAUUGAGCGGCCAGAGGUGAAAUUCUCGGAUUCGCUCAAGACUAACUUAUGCGAAAGCAUUCACCAAGGAUGUCUUCUUUAA